AUUGAACGCUGGCGGCAGGCCUAACACAUGCAAGUCGAACGGUAACAGGAAGCAGCUUGCUGCUUCGCUGACGCGAGGCGGGGGGGUGAGAAAUGUCUGGGAGACUGUCUGAUUUAGGGGGAGAACUACUGGAAACGGUAACUCAAACCGCAUAACGUCGCAAGACCAAAGAGCGGGACCUUAUGGCCCCUUGCCAGCGUAUAUGCCCAGAUGGGAUUAGCUAGUUGGCGGGGUAACGGCGCACCCAGGCGACGAUCCCUAGCUGGUCUGAGAGGAUGAUCAGCCACACUGGAACUGAGACACGGUCCAGACUCCUACGGGAGGCAGCAGUGGGGAAUAUUGGACAAUGGGCGCAAGCCUGAUGCAGCCAUGCCGCGUGGAUGAAGAAGGCCUUCGGGUUGUAAAGUCCUUUUGUCGGGGAAGAAGAGCGUCAAGUUAAUACCCCUGCGUAUUGACGGUACCCGAAGAAUAAGCACCGGCUAACUUCGUG
This 490-nucleotide ribosomal RNA is filed under the name uncultured bacterium. RNAcentral's name for it is "partial 16S ribosomal RNA". It matches the Rfam family "Bacterial small subunit ribosomal RNA", at positions 30 to 507 of the family's 1533-position model. The record is from RNAcentral.